UCUCCGUUGGUGAACCAGCGGAGGGAUCAUUACCGAGUUUUCAACUCCCAAACCCACUGUGAACUUAUACCUUUAUCGUUGCUUCGGCGGGUCUCGGCCCCGGCGCUGCCGCUCCCCUUGCCGGGAGGGGUAAGCCGGACAACACGGCCCCCGCCGGAGGACCCAAACUCUUGAAUUUUUCCGCGGACUGGCUUCGCGGCAGUUUGUAUUCUGAUUACUUCAAAACAUAAAUGAAUCAAAACUUUCAACAACGGAUCUCUUGGUUCAG
This 268-nucleotide unclassified non-coding RNA is filed under the name plant metagenome. Its description in RNAcentral is "partial contains small subunit ribosomal RNA, internal transcribed spacer 1, and 5.8S ribosomal RNA". The record is from RNAcentral.